This 479-nucleotide ribosomal RNA is filed under the name uncultured bacterium. Its description in RNAcentral is "bacterial SSU rRNA". It matches the Rfam family "Bacterial small subunit ribosomal RNA", at positions 8 to 526 of the family's 1533-position model. The record is from RNAcentral.
AGAGUUUGAUCCUGGCUCAGAUUGAACGCUGUCGGCAUGGCUAAAACAUGCAAGUCGAACGAGAACCUCGCAAGAGGGGACAGUGGCGGAAGGGUGAGUAAUGCGAUCGAACGUACCCCAAGGUGGGGGAUAGGCAGGGGAAACUCUGCGUAAUACCCCAUGUGCUCUCCGGAGGAAAGGUUUACCGCCUUGGGAGCGGCGAUCGUCCUAUCAGGUAGUUGGCGGGGUAAUGGCCCACCAAGCCGAAGACGGGUAGCCGGUAUGAGAGUACGGCCGGCCACAUCGGGACUGAGACACUGCCCGGACUCCUACGGGAGGCUGCAGUAACGAAUAUUCCGCAAUGGGCGCAACGCCUGACGGAGCAAUGCCGAGUGCAGGAUGAAGCGGCUUCGCCGUGUAAACUGCUGUCAGGGGUCAGAAACACUGAUCGACCCCAGAGGAAGAGGCGGCUAACUCUGUGCCAGCAGCCGCGGUAAUAC